This 29-nucleotide non-coding RNA is filed under the name Mus musculus (house mouse). Lineage: Eukaryota; Metazoa; Chordata; Mammalia; Rodentia; Muridae. The record is from RNAcentral.
UGAACGAAGCAUUAACCUGCUGACCUGGA